This 492-nucleotide ribosomal RNA is filed under the name uncultured bacterium. RNAcentral describes it as "partial 16S ribosomal RNA". It matches the Rfam family "Bacterial small subunit ribosomal RNA", at positions 29 to 507 of the family's 1533-position model. The record is from RNAcentral.
AGUGAACGCUGGCGGUAGGCCUAACACAUGCAAGUCGAACGGCAGCACAGUAAGAGCUUGCUCUUACGGGUGGCGAGUGGCGGACGGGUGAGGAAUACAUCGGAAUCUACUUUUUCGUGGGGGAUAACGUAGAGAAACUUACGCUAAUACCGCAUACGACCUACGGGUGAAAGCAGGGGAUCUUCGGACCUUGCGCGAUUGAAUGAGCCGAUGUCGGAUUAGCUAGUUGGCGGGGUAAAGGCCCACCAAGGCGACGAUCCGUAGCUGGUCUGAGAGGAUGAUCAGCCACACUGGAACUGAGACACGGUCCAGACUCCUACGGGAGGCAGCAGUGGGGAAUAUUGGACAAUGGGCGCAAGCCUGAUCCAACCAUACCGCGUGGGUGAAGAAGGCCUUCGGGUUGUAAAGCCCUUUUGUUGGGAAAGAAAAGCAGCAGGUUAAUACCCCGCUGUUCUGACGGUACCCAAAGAAUAAGCACCGGCUAACUUCGUG